GGGGUUGUAGUUAACUAUAACAUUUGAUUUGCAUUCAAAAAGUACUGCCAGCAGUCAUCCUCA
Molecule: transfer RNA, 63 nt
Filed under: Psammotermes voeltzkowi
Lineage: Eukaryota; Metazoa; Arthropoda; Insecta; Blattodea; Rhinotermitidae
Description: tRNA-Ala
Rfam family: tRNA
About the family: Transfer RNA (tRNA) molecules are approximately 80 nucleotides in length. Their secondary structure includes four short double-helical elements and three loops (D, anti-codon, and T loops). Further hydrogen bonds mediate the characteristic L-shaped molecular structure. tRNAs have two regions of fundamental functional importance: the anti-codon, which is responsible for specific mRNA codon recognition, and the 3' end, to which the tRNAs corresponding amino acid is attached (by aminoacyl-tRNA synthetases). tRNAs cope with the degeneracy of the genetic code in two manners: having more than one tRNA (with a specific anti-codon) for a particular amino acid; and 'wobble' base-pairing, i.e. permitting non-standard base-pairing at the 3rd anti-codon position.
Source: RNAcentral